This is a non-coding RNA of Zootermopsis nevadensis, 961 nucleotides long. Lineage: Eukaryota; Metazoa; Arthropoda; Insecta; Blattodea; Termopsidae. The record is from RefSeq and is a predicted model, not a curated record.
GUCGCGCUAGCUCUUUUAUCAUACGCGGCCACCGUCGUUUGCCAAUGCUCAUGUCAGCUGAUUUCUGUUUAUGCACGCCCAAUUUCGUAUUUUUAGUGGAAGGGUAACUCAGUCUCCUCUUGGUUCUGUGACUGUUCUGUUUCGUUUUGCUCUGCUUAUUCGCCUCUGUCUCUGCUGUUGCGUAUCCGUUGUCUACGUUUUAUUAAAAUAGUUGCACCUCUCUGGAAGUUGGUUCUCCUUCCAUUUUCAGGUGAAAGGAUGUCAAAACCUGGUCUAAUUAGUCGCAAACGUGGACCACGUAGAGGGUAAGUGCACUAAUAAAAUUAACAUAGGAUGUCUCACCGUCGUCAGGAACCUUGGAACUUCGAUUCUUCAGGUACUGUUGAAUCGCCCAGAAAAUGUUCGCGUCUACUUGUACGCUCCUCUAGCAGCCAGACGUUGCAAUUUUUAUGUUAAAGAUGACGUCCAAUCAGAACAAGCACGACGUUUUGCGGUCUGCUAGUAGUGCAGCACGUGACUUCCCAGGCCGCGUACGUCACAGGGACUUGCUUCACUCGAGUGUACUGUACCGAGUGAAGAGUCGGAAAUAAAAUUGAGAAGCCAAAACGGAAGUGCUGAUCGGAAGGGGACACGACGUUCCAGGAAGCUCUAGUUACGAUAUCGCGCGGGUAAGGACCUCUCGAAUUCCAGUCUUGCUGACGGCACGGAUGAACGCAGUGUCCGCGCGCGUAGGUCGAUCCCUAACUCGAGGAAUCCUUCCGAAAGUUCAAUAAAUGCGUUGUUUCAUUCUCUGUGUCAGCCACGAGGGCGACUGUUGAAACUGCGGUUCUCUGUGACCGACGGAGGAACUAGACUUUUUGGAACGGCGUAGCCUAAUUGCGUUCUCCGCAGCGGGUCCCGAGCCAGCCAGCACCCUGAGGGAAGUGAGAAAGAAAGAAAGAAAGAAAGAAAGAAAGAAAGA